Long non-coding RNA from Ahaetulla prasina, 4755 nucleotides. RefSeq lists it as uncharacterized. The record is from RefSeq and is a predicted model, not a curated record. The transcript is spliced from 4 exons. Lineage: Eukaryota; Metazoa; Chordata; Lepidosauria; Squamata; Colubridae.
CUGGUGUUAUUAUUUUAAACUAGGCUUGAACUUGGAACGUUUUACAGAUGGCUGAGAAUAUCUUCAUCAGCCAGCCUGCUACAUCCCAAACCCAUCAAUCCAGACACCCACCCUCAAAAGCCACAACUUCUCAGGUCUGAUUCAUCACCACAUAAUGAAAAACAACUUUUCAGAAAAAUGACACAAAAGUGAAAGAAUUUGUCAUCUGGGAAAAGAGGCCAAUAUAAAAUAACUUCAGCAAAUUACAAGGAACAAAUGCUUUCAAUCCUCAUGUCAUUUUACCAUCCAGUAUAUGACUUGUUUUGCAAAGAAGAAUUGCGUGACAUAGAGCUGCAGGCUUCCUUUCCAAUCAGGGAAGGUUCCCCUCCCCGGUUCUUGAUCCAUCUUCUACUCGUUCACAUAUUCUGUUGUGUGCAGCUGAAAGUUUAGGAGUUCUGACUCCCCACUGCAGACGGCUAAUAAAAUAGGUGCCAAGAGUCUCCCAGAGUUACGCUGUCCAGCAAAUGCUCCUGAAGUUUCUUAGCAACUGCAAGGCAUUUAUCUAAACAUCUUUAUGGAUUCCUUCAACCUUUACCAAGAGCAUAAAGGCCCAGAAGGAGCUGGAGAUGAGGUCAGCAUUACCUUGAAGAAAUGAGUGAACAAACAAGUUGUGAAGAAGGUCUACACACAUCACCAUGCAUGUGUGGAUAAUUUUCAUUUAAUGAUGUUGAAUCUCUCUGGCCAAAAUGGAGAACCAGAUAACUGCCAUGGAAACCUAGUGGCACCAGCAACCCCAAUUUACUCCUAGGUUCUGCGAGAUGGAAGUUGCUGUUUUUUUUUAAAUGUCACAACCAGGCACCAGAUACUAAAACAUUAUUUUUUGGUCCAAGAAUGAUCCCUGGCAUUUCCACCUUAAAAUCUGCAAGACAGGGAUGAUCAUCUGCUAGGCACAUUAGACGGAUCAAUGCUGGAUUACAUGGAAAAGACAUUUGGUUUAAAGUAAAGGAGUUUGAGAAGUUUAGAGUAAGAAGGAAUUGGGUCCAAAAUGUCACAAUCAAUUCCUAAAAUUGGGAACACGUAAAACUACAAAACAGAAUUGCUUGUUAGAAAUAAAAGGAACAUGAAGCCCUAACAUGUGGAAUGAGCUGAAGCUUUGUGUGUGUGAAUAUAUGUAUAUAUGUGUGUAUAUAUAUAUGUAUAUAUGUAUGUGCCAGGGGAACAAAGAAAUAGAAGCAAAACCUUAUAGAGUUACAAGAGAUUCUGGGAUCCUGUAGUAGUAUAUUUAAAAAAAUAAAUAGAACUGCCAAUAUGGCCCAUACUACUAUUUAGUCAGAAAAAUAAAAUGUUCCAUUUGCUCAAAAGCAUGUGGGAGAGCUUCCAUUCUUUCUGCUUCUCUUAUUUUUGUUAGCACAUUUCUCAAAGGUUUGAAUUGCUCUAUUUUGUCUGUUGAUUAAUCAUCAGCUAUGGAUGGGGGAGGGGCGGUGAACCUAAAGGGUAGAGAGGAGCUGAGCAAACAAAAUAAAUCCAUUAUUCCUCAUCCAGAGUGUCCUUCUUUGGAUGUGUUGCCUUUGAGCUCCCUUUCUCUGUUGUCAUGCUGUAGUGAAGGGAGUGUUGGGUUGUAUAACGCGCCUGCUCUCCAACAGCUCCUUUUCAGAUUAGUAACCAAGAUCCUUUCAUCUGGGGAUAAUAGACAGACUCUCAAUGCAAGAAUGUGAUGCAAGACACCAGCCUUCAGAAAACAUAAGAGUUGAGAUACAAAUUGAACUGAGGCUGAAUAGAGCCAAAAAAGAUCAAUUAAAACUAACCUAGAAUAUUGUCACCCCAAGCAACCACAACAACUGGCAUUUCCAUUCCCAGGAUACUUGUUUCAAGGAUUCCUGAGAUGCAUCUCUUGAAUCAAGGUUGACACUCCUUACAAAUAUAACCCACAAUCUAACAGCUAGUGAAUAGAUUGUGCUGUCCGGCCAACCCCAUGGAUACCAAAGGGAUGAUUAUCUAAUGGAAGCCACUGGGACAGGGCUUAAUGUGGGCCAGACUGCUGGAAGGGUAAUUUUAAAAAAAAAGGCUGUUUCAUACAGCAGCUUAAAAUAUUGCAAGGUCAUCCCAUUAAUUGACUCUCUUUGCAUGCUGAGCAGACUUGGUCAGGAAUUAGGAGAAAUUCAAGAGGAGCCAUUGUUUUACUUAGUUGAUUCCAAACAUAGGAGCUCAUGUUUAUAUAACUACAAGAUGCUUUGUAAAGUUCCAAAAAUAGGCUCAACUUUUAACUCCAGGGAAUGCAUUGAGACUAUUCCUUAGAAAAGGGGGUGUAGUCAGAACUGUUUUCCCAGUGCUUGUAGAUAUGGCAGGGAAGCAGAGGAGACAUUUAGAGAAACUUUUUUGUUUUUGCUUAUUUUAACAAAAGUAUUUUAGUCAGUAAUUUUAUGCUUUUUUGAGAGAGAGGGAGGGAGAGAGAGAGAAGGUGAUGCUGAAAAAUCCUUUCAGAAAUAGAUACCAUAUUAAUACAAUUGAGCGUGUCCAGAAAUAUUUUACAAGAAGAGUUCUCCACUCCUCUGUUUACAACAAAAUACCUUAUGCCACCAGACUUGAAAUCCUGGGUAUAGAAAGUUUAGAAUUCCGCCGCUUUCGACAUGACCUGAGUUUAACUCAUAGAAUCAUCUGUUACAAUGUCCUUCCUGUUGAAGACUACUUCAGCUUCAGUCGCAACAAUACACGAGCACACAAUAGAUUUAAGCUUAAUGUGAACCGCUCCAAUCUUGAUUGCAGAAAAUAUGACUUCAGUAACAGAGUUGUUAAUGGCUGGAAUGCACUACCUGACUGUUCUGUCCCCCCACCUCAGUCCGGGAGGCACGUGAAAUGACUCAAUUAGCCGGCAAUUUAGUCCACAGCAGCUAUCAGCUCUGGCAGCAAACCAGCGAGUGUCUGCCAAGGUUUUCUUUUAUCUUUCUUGAUGCCGGCAUGUCAACCAGGAAGUCAGGAACAAACAGCACUCCAAGUCAAAUGCUCAGUCAAAUAGUUCAGCUCAAGUUUUCUCCAGUUAGUUGAUUUGUUCGUCACGAAGUAGAUUAGCAGCCCCUCCUGCUUUUAUACCCUGUGGGGUGUGGCUCCGUGACUCAGCACUUUCUAAGCCUGCCCCAUCCCUGCUUCUGUUGUUCCCGCCUCUCGUCUAUGAAACCUGGGAUCUAACCAGCACUGAUUGUCCACAGCUGGAUCUGGGAGCAUUGCCUGGCCGGGGGGAGAUACAGGAGACAGAGGCCUCGUUUCUUCCUCCACCUGGCCUGCCUCUGACUCCUGGAGCUGAGCCAGAGAGGCCGGCCCAGCAGAGGGGAGCCCUGCCGGCCCUUCCCCCUCACUCUCUGAGUCACUCUCUGGCAGGGGGCCAGGCUCAGGGGGGGGGGGCUGGAGCCACAACACUGACUCUGUGGUCUCUUCACAAAAUUCCCAAAGCUUUAACCAAAAACUAUCUACUAUUGACCUCACCCCAUUCCUAAGAGGUCUCUAAGGGCACCAGCGUGCCUACCGUUCCUGUCCUAAUGUUCCCUUUGAUUGUAUCCAAUUCAUAUAGUUAUUUCAUGUUUAUGCUUAUAUAUAUGCUUAUAUAUCGUAAGUUAUUUCUUGCUUAUGCUUAUAUAUUUAUUUGUUGUGACAAAUAAAUAAAUAAAUAAAAAAUAUGUCAGAUGCUAUUUGAGGAGUGGGGAAAGCUCCAUAACUUUGAAACAGCAGACCAACAUACAAACCGCGGUGUGGCUCAGGCUGUAAGAAGCCUGUUAUUAAACACAGCUGCCUGCAAUUACUGCAGGUUGUAGUCCCACCCGGCCCAAGGUUGACUCAGCCUUCCAUCCUUUAUAAGGUAGGUAAAAUGAGGAGCCAGAUUGUUGGGGGGGCAAUAAAUUGACUUUGUAUAUAAAUAUACAAAUAGAAUGAGACUAUUGCCUUACACAAUAUAAGCCGCCCUGAGUCUUCGGAGAAGGGCGGGAUAUAAAUGUAAAUUAAAAAAAAACAAAACCCAACAAGAUGAAAAUGCAAAUCUUCCAACAUUAUGUUGGUCUGUGAUUCCAGUUUUCUGGAUUAAAGGUAUGCAGUGAUCUGGAUCUGAAAGGAAAAUAUUUUAAUAUGUGGGUAUGUACAUUGCAUCUGUUGGCAACCCCUUAAAAAAGAUAACGCUUGUCCCAAAUUCAAAUAUUGAUGCUCCAAAAUUGCACCAUAAUCUCAGGAAAAAUGCAUUUAAAUUAAGGACUCAUUUGCACUCAUACAUGCUUGGAAGUACCUUUUCCCCUUCAAAUCUGGAACACUACAUUGGCAUUACCGCUACAUGAUUCCAGACAGCAUCCUCAUGAUAUGAUGGAAUGAGCAGCUAUUCCUAAAACAGAGAUGUCCUACGGAGAUACUAGAUCUGUCAACUGGCUACUAAUUCUGGGAGCAGUACUUAUAGCACAAUGGGAACACCUGAAGGCAGAAGAUAAAACAAUGGACUAAUCAAGGAGAGAAACAACCUAGAACUGAGGAGAAAUAUCCUGACAGUUAGAACAAUUAAUCAGUGGAAUGAGUUGCCUCCAGAAGUUGUGGGUGCUCCAACACUGGAGGUUUUUAAGAAGAGAUUGGACAACCAUUUGUCUGAAAUGGUGUAGGAUUUCCUGCUUGAGCAGGGGGUUGGACUAGAAGACCUCCAAGGUCCCUUCCAACUCUAUUAUUCUGUUAUUCUGGAUGAAGCUAGGUUAGGGAAGGCUGCCCCAGAUAAUGAUUAGUUUUGACAACUGGUCAAUUGUUGAACAAUUCUUA